Molecule: non-coding RNA, 166 nt
Submitted as: unclassified sequences
Source: Rfam
GAUAUGUUUCAGAAAUGGUUGCAAUUACCUACUGGUGGUAAGAUGGCCGAGCUUCAGGGUUUAUAACAACCCAGUUCAAAGAGCCAUCAAGUCCGCGACCCGCAAAGGCGGUUAACCUGGUUAAAGUCCAGGACCAACGGUACAGUCCGGAUGUCAGAAACGGAGA